RNAcentral lists this ribosomal RNA (256 nucleotides) under uncultured archaeon. Its description in RNAcentral is "partial 16S ribosomal RNA". It matches the Rfam family "Archaeal small subunit ribosomal RNA", at positions 728 to 982 of the family's 1478-position model. The record is from RNAcentral.
AUUAGAUACCCCUGUAGUCCAGGGUGUAAACGCUGCAGACUUGGUGUUGGGAACCCUUCGGGGGUGCUCAGUGCCGGAGAGAAGUUGUUAAGUCUGCUACUUGGGGAGUACGUCCGCAAGGAUGAAACUUAAAGGAAUUGGCGGGGGAGCACCGCUAACGGGAGGAGCGUGCGGUUUAAUUGGAUUCAACACCGGAAAACUCACCAGGGGAGACUGUUACAUGAAACCCAGACUAAUGAUCUUGGUUGAUUUUCAG